RNAcentral lists this ribosomal RNA (253 nucleotides) under uncultured bacterium. RNAcentral's name for it is "partial 16S ribosomal RNA". It matches the Rfam family "Bacterial small subunit ribosomal RNA", at positions 524 to 776 of the family's 1533-position model. The record is from RNAcentral.
UACGGGGGGGGCAAGCGUUGUUCGGAAUUACUGGGCGUAAAGGGUUCGUAGGUGGCCUGCUAAGUCGGACGUGAAAUCCCUCGGCUCAACCGGGGAACUGCGUCCGAUACUGGUGGGCUCGAGUGCAGGAGAGGAACGCGGAAUUCCAGGUGUAGCGGUGAAAUGCGUAGAUAUCUGGAGGAACACCGGUGGCGAAGGCGGCGUUCUGGACUGCAACUGACACUGAGGAACGAAAGCCGGGGGAGCAAACGGG